AUGCCGGAGGCUCCUCAGAGCUCAGGCGAUUCCGGCCGUCCGAUUGAUCUCCUGACGCGUUUCCGGCCGUCGGAUCUCGGCCGUCGCUUCUCCACAUUCGCUCGUCCCACCUCCUCCUCUCUCUCUCUCUCGAUCUCCUAUGCCUCGCACGCCGCCACCGCUCGCCCUCGCGCCGCCGCCGCCUCCGCUCGCCCUCGCGCCGCCCCCUUGCCUCUCUCUCUCCCUCCAAGCCCUAGAACCUCACCCGCGCCUCCCAGCUCCACCGCCGUCCAGGUCCAGCCCCAUGCCACCGUCGUCUUCUCGCCCAGCCGUCCGCCACCACACCGCACGCUCGUGCGCAGGGGCGAGAAGGGGAACCACCGCCCGCUCCCGGAGCGCGAGGAGGACGUGGUGAUGCAGCGCCCAGAUCCACGACGGCAUCAACGCGCCGUCGUCGACCUGAGCCACCACCGUCCUCGAGGCCGGCCAUGGAGUGGGGGUCUGACCCAGGUACAGCCGUGGACGGAGACACCCCAAACCCUAGCAUUGCUGCUGCUGGUCAAGUUUUUUGGACGUGUUGGCUGGUCGGAUGCGGCAAUUUUUUUGGAUGCAUUAGCUAUUCGAGCCUGGAUAUGGUGUGGUUCUGACGUUCUUGGAAUCAAUGUACUAUUUUCAGGGGCUGGAUUUGUCUGUAAUCGAUUAGGCCUUGCAAAAGAGAGGUGGGGAACAGGAUUGUUGGUCGGUUCUAUUGCUAUUUAUUGUGCAAGGACCCUCUUUUGCUGGCCUCGUUCUUCUGCACUGUGUACCCUCUUUUGUUGGAUCAGCCUUUUAGAUGAUUUGCCAGUCAUACCCUGUGUGUGCAUAUCACGUCUGUGGCAUCACCAUGGUGGAACCGAAAAUGGACCUAUCAAGGAGAUGGAUGUGGUUAUACUAGAUGCAGAGAUGCCUGAGAAAUUUGUUAACCAAUUUAUAUGUGUCCCCCAAGAGUGUGGGUUGAUGAUCUGUCGCAAGUUUCUGGUCUUUCUCAAGAAGUAUGUCUUCGGGCUGGUGGAGAGUCAAUACAUGAUUAAGUUCACUAGAUGUGGUUGGGAUUAUCCCAGGUUUCUUUGUUCUUUCAUGUUGGAAUCAGUGACAAUACCUUGCCGGCACUCCUCGUAUUCUCUCCACUAUGUUUGGCUAAGGUUGCAAAAUUUGGUAACCGUGAAUGUUUGUGAGGGAGGGUGGGUACGAGGAGAUGAGUCUCGUGGCGGUGAGCGGAACGGAGACAAGGAUGGCGACUUUAUGCUUCUCGGAGACCUCAUCUGGAGGUUCAGGAGAUGGUUCGCUGUUGGACUGUGUGCUAUGGGAUGUUUUGGUGGUCUGAUGCUUUUAGCCACCGCUCUCGUUCCAGAGGUGGUGGCCAAAGGCAAAUGUGCUUUGGGAGAGAUAUAUGCAUUUUGGUUCAUAUCCAUGUCUGUAGGAAACCUUUCCAUGCUCAGCAUUAUCGACGACCUUUCUGAUUUGGAGUUGUACUUCGUUAUUGUGAAUAAUGAAUAUGGUCAACAAUCUGAAGAAGAGUCACCUUCUGCCGAGAGAGUGAUGCGUGUUACUGCCGGGAGAGCUGCUUCUUGCCGGGAGAGUGAUAUCAACCUGCGAUGUGUUAAGCGGAUCACUGUGUAA
RNAcentral lists this ribosomal RNA (1638 nucleotides) under Triticum aestivum (bread wheat). RNAcentral describes it as "partial small subunit ribosomal RNA". Lineage: Eukaryota; Viridiplantae; Streptophyta; Magnoliopsida; Poales; Poaceae. The record is from RNAcentral.